RNAcentral lists this unclassified non-coding RNA (208 nucleotides) under Hevea brasiliensis (rubber tree). The record is from RNAcentral. Lineage: Eukaryota; Viridiplantae; Streptophyta; Magnoliopsida; Malpighiales; Euphorbiaceae.
GACUGCCGAGGAGUGGUGGUGAUCGCCGGUGGCGGUGGAACCGGAAGAUGAAGAACGGGAAUGACCCUCAUGAAACGGGAAAAAGCCAAGAAAGCGAGGGAGUUCAGGUUUAGAAGUACACAAACACCCACAUCACGGAUUGAAGCAAAAUGAAGGUGGGUUCAUCCAUUUUCAUGAUAUUUAUUGGAGAAGAAGCCAUCCAGAAAAG